AUACGGAGGAUGCGAGCGUUAUCCGGCUUUAUUGGGUUUAAAGGGUGCGUAGGCGGUCGGGUAAGCGUAGGGUGAAAGUCCUCGGCUCAACAGAGGAAGUGCCUUCCGAACUGUCCGACUGGAAUGCUCCUGCCGUGGGAGGAAUGUGUGGUGUAGCGGUGCAAUGCAUAGAGAUCACACAGAACACCGAUUGCGAAGGCAUCUCACGAAGGGGCUAUUGACGCUGAGGCACGAAAGCGUGGGGAUCAAACAGGAUUAGAUACCCUGGUAGUCCACGCAGUAAACGAUGAUGACUAACCGUCGGUCAAGACUGAUCGGUGGCCAAGCGAAAGCGAUAAGUCAUCCACCUGGGGAGUACGACCGCAAGGUUGAAACUUAAAGGAAUUGACGGGG
Molecule: ribosomal RNA, 393 nt
Filed under: uncultured bacterium
Lineage: Bacteria
Description: partial 16S ribosomal RNA
Rfam family: Bacterial small subunit ribosomal RNA
Source: RNAcentral